Molecule: ribosomal RNA, 427 nt
Filed under: uncultured bacterium
Lineage: Bacteria
Description: partial 16S ribosomal RNA
Rfam family: Bacterial small subunit ribosomal RNA
Source: RNAcentral
UGGGGAAUAUUGGACAAUGGGCGAAAGCCUGAUCCAGCCAUGCCGCGUGUGUGAGGAAGGUCUUCGGAUUGUAAAGCACUUUAAGUUGGGAGGUAGGGCAUUAACCUAAUACGUUAGUGUUUUGACGUUACCGACAGAAUAAGCACCGGCUAACUCUGUGCCAGCAGCCGCGGUAAUACAGAGGGUGCAAGCGUUAAUCGGAAUUACUGGGCGUAAAGCGCGCGUAGGUGGUUUGGUAAGUUGGAUUUGAAAUCCCCGGGCUCAACCUGGGAACUGCAUUCAAAACUGACUGACUAGAGUAUGGUAGAGGGUGGUGGAAUUUCCUGUGUAGCGGGGAAAUGCGUAGAUAUAGGAAGGAACACCAGUGGCGAAGGCGACCACCUGGACUAAUACUGACACUGAGGUGCGAAAGCGUGGGGAGCAAACA